UACGGAGGGUGCAAACGUUGCUCGGAAUCAUUAAACAUAAAACACACAUAAACAACAAAACAAGUUGGGUGUGAAAGCCCUGGGCUCAACCCAGGAAGUGCAUUCAAAACUGUUUCGCUUGAAUCUCGGAGGGGGUCAGAGAAUUCCCGGUGUAGAGGUGAAAUUCGUAGAUAUCGGGAGGAAUACCAGUGGCGAAGGCGCUGACCUGGACGAAGAUUGACGCUGAGGUGCGAAAGCGUGGGGAGCAAACAGG
RNAcentral lists this ribosomal RNA (253 nucleotides) under uncultured bacterium. RNAcentral describes it as "partial 16S ribosomal RNA". It matches the Rfam family "Bacterial small subunit ribosomal RNA", at positions 524 to 776 of the family's 1533-position model. The record is from RNAcentral.